ACAGAUCAAAGGGGUUUCUUCAGCUUAGGCAUUCAUGCAUCCGAAGUAGUAUCUAAGAAAGUGGUAACCCUGAGGAAUUAAGAGUUUAUGGAGAAGACUGGGCGAAGUCCCAGGCCCAGCAGUGCCCUCUGCUACCCACUCUGUGAGCACACACGGUCUGCUGCUGCCAGCCCCUGCAGCCCAACAGGCAGCCCUUGGGCUAAACAAGUGGGGAGGACUUCUCUCAUCAAGGCAGGAUCUCAGCUCUGCUCACCAAAAAGCAAAGCGCAGCUUCUCGCGUGGCAGGGAUUCGUCGCACCAACCAGGGUUAUUAGCAUCACAGGUAAUUCUGUGAUAUUUGGCUGGCAACAAAAGCAGGCCCAAGAAUUUGAAGGUGUUGCUGGAUGCCUCAGUUCAGAGCUCCACACAUGGGAUGCCCCAGUCCCAUACUGCAAUAAGCCCUCCCGGGCUCCGGCACAUUCAAAUGAGAUUUCCUACUUGCAUUUCCUUUAAGCCUAAAGGAGUAAUUCUGAAGAGCAAAACUACCUGGAAGGCACGGAAAAGCCCAGCCCAAGAUCAGCUACCUGUGGGAUUGCAGCUUGUGCAUGGCACAGGACCUCAGAAACACAGAGCAGAAGUUGUAUUUUGCAUUGUGAGCUGGGGGAGCGGUGAGCAGCACUGUGAGGGAUUGGUGAAACAGCACAGAUGCAGAAAAGUUCAGCUAUUACAUUUCUAAGGGAAAAGGCAAAAAAGAAGUCCUGAAGCUAUUUUGCUGUAGGUAUUUCUGGAGCUAAGAUCUGAGUCCAGAUGACAAUUAAAAAUAAGAUGGCAUUUGGAGCAGCUGUGAGAGACCCCCAGCUUCAUUUCCUGUGAGAAGAGGAUCCCACAGCUGCCACAACCCGCAGCCUCAGUUCAAACAAAACCUGUUUGGCUACAGAUUUGCCAUAACCUGAUUCCCAUCUGCCUAUGGAAAACAUCACCACCAACGGAGAAGCGUCCAGAUUCCAGGCAGAAACUGACCCAACAAAUUCAUAUCACAAGCAGUGGGCUAACAGAUCACCUCAUUAAGAACAUUUGGAUAGAGGAGGGGGGUGUAUGAGAAGAGGAGCAUCCUGGAAUGAGGAGAUCUCCUGCCUUUUGGUCCUGGGUAUUUCUUAAGCUAAAAAGAAUCCCUAAAUGUCAUGUACAAACCUUACUUACGCUCCAUAUGGGAACAUGUCCAGGCUUGUAACAAAAUAUUCACUCACAUUAAGCAUUAUAUUGCAUUACUGUAAUUUUUUCUUCUUAACACAAGGAACAGAUCAGCUAAUUUUAGAUGCAUACAUUUCCAGUUUCAGACUUUUAAGAAAGUUUAAACAGACAAUACUGCCUGGGUUAGCAGAUACCUAUGAAUGCUAACAACCAUGACCAUGCAUCUCAGCUCACCAGACACUGAUCCCACCCAGGAAUGCCUGGAGGUUCCCAUGUGCAGCAAAUCACAGUUCAAAUCACAGGGUUUCACUCCUCCAGCAAGCUGCAGGAUAACCCACAGACUCAGUAAAGAGGCAAAGAGUUGUGCCAUGACCACACUUACAUCUAAAAGUAAUCCUGCUUCACUAACCUGGGUUUAUGUGUGACUGGUGAGCACAGUGCUGGGAAGCAACAGCUUCAUUCACCAGGGCUGUUCUGACCACGUAUAUAUACAGCUUUGCAAGAGUAAGACUGCUGUGUUUUACCUCUGUGACAAAGGAAUUUGUAAAUGGGUGGCAACUGUGCACAAGAUCUGGCUCCUUUUGAGCAGAUUUCUGCUGUCCUUUAAUACUUGUGUUCCCCUGGUCACCUACUGUUUGCUAGCUUUGGGGGAUACCACUUCAUUUUCUCACUUGAGAAAUUGCAUUUGAGAAACAUUUAAAAUUUGCCUGCAUUGCUGCUGAAUUCAACCUUCUGCCUGCAACUAAUGGCAAAUCUCCCAGCGAUUGGCUGUGGUGCAGCUACAAGCAGCAUACAUCGCACACCUAUAGAUGGCAUAUGAAGCUCAAAUGACAUCCUGGAUCACACCUGCAAUACCAUCACUUAGCAGCCCAAGGUAGGCAGACUCCACGUUUUCCUCCUGAAAUGGCCCAUAGCCACCUGCAAACACAGCCAGCAAGCAUGACAUUAAGCCUCCGGAUUUACCUUCAAAAUGAAGAAGAAAGCCAUACACGUUUUUUGGUAAGAAGAGUUAAUUUCCAGUCUGAGCAUGUGGGAGUAUGCCCCAAGGGAAGGGAGUAAUGAAGCCCCAGCGUUAGUUGCAAAACAAAUAGAUAAAUCAAUGUUUCAAUUUGCUCCAUGUGAGCAAAUGGGCCACAGUUGCUUAGCAAUUCAGAGAACAUUAUUGCAGGCUCCUCACACACAGUUACAAACACUACCCAACCUGCUGCCUUUUUUACCACCUUAGGAUUAAAAUAAAGCUUACCUUCUGGUGACAGCAGCAGCUCCACGGCCAAAGGAAGAUGUUAUUUUCAUGCUAAGUUUGCUGAAAUCCUUUUCUGCCACAUCACCAGCUCACAGCUGAACAAAGUGGCAAAGACCUUCUUAGAGUAUUUUCAAAUGCAGUUGCAUGAGGUCUAACGUUACUGUUAAAGAAACACCACAUUCCUUUAAGAAAAAGCCCUUCAUCCCAGCCUCACACAGAGACACAAAGCCCACACUCCAGAGCAAAGGACAUCCCAUCCACCAAGCCUCCUCCUCAGAGCCGGGCGCUGAGCAAGGUCAGGGCUUAUAAAAGGAGUCCCACAGCUGGGCUCUGUAUCGGAGCAAUUAUAGCUCUAAACCCAUUCAGGUGUGGAGGUCCCUGCAAAGCUGGAGGUAUCUGCCCUCUCCAAGCAGAAAACACUGCACUAUUUUAUAGAAUCGUAGCAUCAUUGGAGUUGGAAGGGACCCUUAAAGGUCAUCCACUCCAACUCCAAUGGAACCAACGCAAUGAACCAGUGAGUUCCAUGGCUGAGGAGGGCACUGUGCUCACUGGGACAGUCCUAUGCACGUCUCUGCUGCCUCUCGCAGCUCAGCGUUCCCUCCUUCAGUGGCCUUGCAGAGCCCCACAAAGCAACCCCAAAAAUAAAGCCAAAAGGUCACCCUGAAGCCAAAUGUUCAUCCAAACCGAGACAGCCGGAUUUUAGUUACGCACUCCUGUGUUCUUCUGAUCAGAGGAGCCCUUGCUAAACAUCUCUGAAAGCUCUUUUGGCCCCAGGUAAUUCAUUGCAUAAUAUCCUUUCUGGUAAAUUGGUUUUGGGGGUGGGGGACUCCGUGCAGACAAUCUCUGCAUUUUGCUGGCAGGUCUAUAACAAAGAAAGGCUGCAUUAUUUGAGGGUACUCAAAUCUCUCAAUCAAAUCCGAAAUCACAGAACAGCAUUCCCCCUUAACUCAGUUUAAACACUGAACUGUUCCCCAGGUAAUUAAUAAUGUUUGCAAAUAUGCCUCCUUUGAAGGAAUGUUAUCAUAGUUUCAGUGACAAGCUCAGACUCUUUAUUCCUCUUUAUAAUUCCUAACAUCUACUCAGGCAGCAUUAAUUGGAUUCAAAGCAAUUACACGGGAGUCAUGUCGGCCACUUCACAUCACAUCCCGCAGCAUUCCGUUCCGCACUGCCCCGCGUCCCAGCACCGCUUCCCAGCCUCUGCCCCACAGCAGCACCUCUGCACCAGACCCACAGCAACGCUGCACAACGCUCCUUUGGACACUGCAGAACAGAGAAGCCCAGAUCUGGCAAAGGAAUCUAAAAAUACAGGUGGCUGCCUCUGCCGCUGCUGACCCAUUUCUCAGGGCUCAAACGAGGACGCUGCCCGCUUAUUUUGCUGAUGUUUGGACCUGUGCAUGGAGCCAAGCAAAAUAAAGCCAACACGAGGGGCUGAUGGAAGCGUGCCUGGGAAACGUCUGGAGCAGGGACUGCUGAGAAGGAUGCAACACUGGAAGAACACCAGUGUGAUGCUCCAUUCACUUAUUUAAUAAUCAUGAAGAACAUCCAAUAUAUAAUCCAAUAGAAUCCGGGGAUCCUGGCUGCUGCUGAGAACAGGCAGCCAAGCUUUGCCUUAUGAACUGUACUCUAUCUUUGGCUGGUUGAGCAUGCAGGGCUUUUUUUCAGUGAAGAAUUAGCUUUAAAUUGAAUUCUACACUUUGUAAUCAAGACGCGGUGCUUCGUUCAGGUGUACCUGCUCUCUUCUCAUUAAAGACUCUUGAACAAAA
Gallus gallus (chicken) is the source of this 4176-nucleotide long non-coding RNA. RefSeq lists it as uncharacterized. The record is from RefSeq and is a predicted model, not a curated record. NCBI's taxonomy places the organism in Eukaryota, Metazoa, Chordata, Aves, Galliformes, Phasianidae. The transcript is spliced from 3 exons.